RNAcentral lists this ribosomal RNA (428 nucleotides) under uncultured Spirochaeta sp. Its description in RNAcentral is "bacterial SSU rRNA". It matches the Rfam family "Bacterial small subunit ribosomal RNA", at positions 952 to 1382 of the family's 1533-position model. The record is from RNAcentral. Lineage: Bacteria; Pseudomonadati; Spirochaetota; Spirochaetia; Spirochaetales; Spirochaetaceae.
CGAUGAUACGCGAGAAACCUUACCAGGGCUUGACAUAUACAGGAAUGUUGUAGAGAUACAGCAGCCGCUUGCGGUCUGUAUACAGGUGCUGCAUGGCUGUCGUCAGCUCGUGCUGUGAAGUGUUGGGUUAAGUCCCGCAACGAGCGCAACCCUAUCAUCUGUUGCCAGCAUUUAAGGUGGGGACUCAGAUGAGACUGCCGGUGACAAACCGGAGGAAGGUGGGGACGACGUCAAGUCAUCAUGGCCCUUAUGUCCUGGGCUACACACGUGCUACAAUGGCCGGUACAGAGUGAAGCGAAACCGCGAGGUGAAGCAAAACGCAGAAAGCCGGUCUCAGUACGGAUUGGAGUCUGAAACUCGACUUCAUGAAGUUGGAAUCGCUAGUAAUCGCGCAUCAGCAUGGCGCGGUGAAUACGUUCCCGGGCCUU